GACGAACGCUGGCGGCGUGCUUAACACAUGCAAGUCGAACGGAAAGGCCCUUCGGGGUACUCGAGUGGCGAACGGGUGAGUAACACGUGGGUGAUCUGCCCUGCACUUUGGGAUAAGCCUGGGAAACUGGGUCUAAUACCGAAUAUGAUCAUCGGCUUCAUGGUCGGUGGUGGAAAGCUUUUGCGGUGUGGGAUGGGCCCGCGGCCUAUCAGCUUGUUGGUGGGGUAAUGGCCUACCAAGGCGACGACGGGUAGCCGGCCUGAGAGGGUGACCGGCCACACUGGGACUGAGAUACGGCCCAGACUCCUACGGGAGGCAGCAGUGGGGAAUAUUGCACACUGGGCGCAAGCCUGAUGCAGCGACGCCGCGUGAGGGAUGACGGCCUUCGGGUUGUAAACCUCUUUCAGCACAGACGAAGCGCAAGUGACGGUAUGUGCAGAAGAAGGACCGGCCAACUACGUG
Molecule: ribosomal RNA, 462 nt
Filed under: uncultured bacterium
Lineage: Bacteria
Description: partial 16S ribosomal RNA
Rfam family: Bacterial small subunit ribosomal RNA
Source: RNAcentral